This 460-nucleotide ribosomal RNA is filed under the name uncultured bacterium. RNAcentral's name for it is "partial 16S ribosomal RNA". It matches the Rfam family "Bacterial small subunit ribosomal RNA", at positions 338 to 795 of the family's 1533-position model. The record is from RNAcentral.
CCUACGGGAGGCAGCAGUGAGGAAUAUUGGUCAAUGGGCGGGAGCCUGAACCAGCCAAGUCGCGUGAGGGAAGACGGUCCUACGGAUUGUAAACCUCUUUUGCCGGGGAGCAACGGGGUCCUUGCGAGGGCCCUAUGCGAGUACCCGGAGAAUAAGCAUCGGCUAACUCCGUGCCAGCUGCCGCGGUAAUACGGAGGUUGCGAGCGUUAUCCGGAGUUAUUGGGUUUAAAGGGUGCGUAGGCGGGCUGUUAAGUCAGCGGUAAAAUGUCGGGGUUCAACCCCGGCCUGCCGUUGAAACUGGCGGCCUCGAGUGGGCGAGAGGUAGGCGGAAGGCGUGGUGUAGCGGUGAAAUGCAUAGAUAUCACGCAGAACUCCGAUUGCGAAGGCAGCAUACCGGCGACCGACUGACGCUGAGGCACGAAAGCGUGGGUAUCGAACAGGAUUAGAUACCCUGGUAGUC